GAAAAUGAUGCGUAUUUAUUGUCAUCUGACUCUGCAUCCUAUGUAUGGAUGCAAACGUAGUGAUUGACUCGUUAUAUCUGAUUC
Solanum dulcamara is the source of this 84-nucleotide small nucleolar RNA. RefSeq annotates it as small nucleolar RNA U31b. The transcript has a single exon. The record is from RefSeq and is a predicted model, not a curated record. Lineage: Eukaryota; Viridiplantae; Streptophyta; Magnoliopsida; Solanales; Solanaceae.